RNAcentral lists this transfer RNA (77 nucleotides) under Candidatus Peregrinibacteria bacterium HGW-Peregrinibacteria-1. RNAcentral describes it as "tRNA-Asp". It matches the Rfam family "tRNA". Rfam says of the family: Transfer RNA (tRNA) molecules are approximately 80 nucleotides in length. Their secondary structure includes four short double-helical elements and three loops (D, anti-codon, and T loops). Further hydrogen bonds mediate the characteristic L-shaped molecular structure. tRNAs have two regions of fundamental functional importance: the anti-codon, which is responsible for specific mRNA codon recognition, and the 3' end, to which the tRNAs corresponding amino acid is attached (by aminoacyl-tRNA synthetases). tRNAs cope with the degeneracy of the genetic code in two manners: having more than one tRNA (with a specific anti-codon) for a particular amino acid; and 'wobble' base-pairing, i.e. permitting non-standard base-pairing at the 3rd anti-codon position. The record is from RNAcentral. Lineage: Bacteria; Candidatus Peregrinibacteriota.
GGAGCGGUAGUUCAGCUGGUUAGAACGCCUGCCUGUCACGCAGGAGGUCGCGGGUUCAAGUCCCGUCCGUUCCGCCA